UCGAUGGAGAGUUUGAUCCUGGCUCAGGACGAACGCUGGCGGCGUGCCUCAUACAUGCAAGUCGAACGAGGCCCAUCUGGUGGCAACACCGGAGAAGGCCGAGUGGCGAACGGGUGCGUAACACGUGAGCAACCUGCCCCGGAGAUCGGGAUAACACCGGGAAACCGGUGCUAAUACCGAAUGCCCUCAACGGAUCGCAUGGUCCGAUGAGGAAAUGGGUUUCCGCUCCGGGAGGGGCUCGCGGCCCAUCAGCUUGUUGGUGGGGUAACGGCCUACCAAGGCAACGACGGGUAGCUGGUCUGAGAGGACGAUCAGCCACACUGGGACUGAGACACGGCCCAGACUCCUACGGGAGGCAGCAG
Molecule: ribosomal RNA, 362 nt
Filed under: Acidimicrobiales bacterium
Lineage: Bacteria; Bacillati; Actinomycetota; Acidimicrobiia; Acidimicrobiales
Description: bacterial SSU rRNA
Rfam family: Bacterial small subunit ribosomal RNA
Source: RNAcentral